AUGGGAAGGACAUCCAAGAGCAUAGAUGAUGCUGAUUGGCAGGACGUUCUGUCCAUGAAAGAGGAAUUCGGCAUUCUGCAGCAAGACUCAACAUUUUUGUGUACUGAUGUUUCCAAGCUUCAACAAGAGGUAUCAUCCAUCGGCCCCAAACAAACUGAAAUAUGUGAGCAAGUAGGAGGUGUACAGCAAGCAGUGCUACAAUUGGGUAAACAAAUGGCAGCCAUGAAUUUAGUUCUGAAAUCUCUAGUACCCAAAUCAGUGAACAGGAAUGAGGAUGAAGCUGAAACUAGUGCAAGUCAAGUAGUAAAAUCGCCAACUCUAGCUCGGGCAGAAUUGCAAAAUCUGGAGCACAGAAAUGCAAAUCUCAGGAAACAUUUGGAGGCAGAAAGAGAGCUGAACAGACAAUUUGAAGAAGCUCAACUCCAAAAUUUACCUCCUGUCAGAGUGCAGAAACCCAGUACUACAGAGAGAAUUCCAAUGCAAGAUUUAACUGCUGAAAGGAAUACCCCUGUGGCACAUCAGGCCAAGCCACACACACCUGCAUUUCAAUAG
RNAcentral lists this ribosomal RNA (552 nucleotides) under Triticum aestivum (bread wheat). Its description in RNAcentral is "partial small subunit ribosomal RNA". The record is from RNAcentral. Lineage: Eukaryota; Viridiplantae; Streptophyta; Magnoliopsida; Poales; Poaceae.